Molecule: unclassified non-coding RNA, 439 nt
Filed under: Hevea brasiliensis (rubber tree)
Lineage: Eukaryota; Viridiplantae; Streptophyta; Magnoliopsida; Malpighiales; Euphorbiaceae
Source: RNAcentral
GGGAAGCAGAGUUACGUUUAAUAAAAUUACUGAAUAACAUGAAAGGAGCUGCGAAAUCUUUAUUUUUUUUAACCCAUAAAAUUAUCUACAACAGCUGAACCAAUAUUCUUGGCUAUAUAACUUGACAAAAUGAAAGCAUCAAAACUAUUAGGACCAACCUGAAGCAUGACUUAAAUAAAAACGAGUAAGUAACCUUUAAAACUUCAAACAAAAACUAAGACAAUCAAUUUACUCCCAUUCUGCUUCAGGUUUUUUUACUACUGCAACUCUACUGUUUGCUCAAGAGUCUGCAGGCGGCUGCUGUUGUUGCUGUGGCCAAAUUGGCUGUGCAACAUAAGGACGAGUAUGUUGGCCGUAGAGAUUUUGAUCCACCAAAGGCUGACCGACAUUCAUCCCUGGAGCAGCGACCUGUGGAGCAAACUGAGGUGACAUGUAAUAG